This 482-nucleotide ribosomal RNA is filed under the name uncultured bacterium. RNAcentral's name for it is "partial 16S ribosomal RNA". It matches the Rfam family "Bacterial small subunit ribosomal RNA", at positions 28 to 507 of the family's 1533-position model. The record is from RNAcentral.
GACGAACGCUGGCGGCGUGCUUAACACAUGCAAGUCGAACGAUGAAGCAGAGACACGCGAGCUUCGGUUCAAAUUUCACUUCGGAUUAGUGGCAGACGGGUGAGUAACGCGUGAGCAACCUACCUCUUACAAAGGGAUAGCCUCGGGAAACCGUGAUUAAUACCAUAUGACACAUUCAUAAGGCAUCUUAAGAAUGUUAAAGCUACGGCGGUAAGAGAUGGGCUCGCGUCCCAUUAGCUAGUUGGUGAGGUAACGGCCCACCAAGGCGACGAUGGGUAACCGGCCUGAGAGGGUGACCGGUCACAUUGGAACUGAGGCACGGUCCAAACUCCGACGGGAGGCAGCAGUGGGGAAUAUUGCACAAUGGAGGGAACUCUAAUGCAGCGACGCCGCGUGAGCGAUGAAGGAAUUCGUAUCGUAAAGCUCGCUUCUAUGGGAAGAAAAGGACUGUACCAUAGGAGAAAGCCCCGGCUAAAUACGUG